This is a long non-coding RNA of Amphibalanus amphitrite, 607 nucleotides long. RefSeq lists it as uncharacterized. NCBI's taxonomy places the organism in Eukaryota, Metazoa, Arthropoda, Thecostraca, Balanomorpha, Balanidae. The record is from RefSeq and is a predicted model, not a curated record. The transcript is spliced from 2 exons.
AUUACUAAGAAAUGAAGCUGGUGUUAUGAACAGUGAACAGUGUCCCAAAAUUUUAUUUCAGAGUGAAAAAUUGUUCUUGAAAAUUGGAGAUGAAAGUGGAAAAUUGAUUUCAGUUGGAUGUCACUUCCCGCCCAAAACUGGCAAAUUUUGGGACAUUGGUUUUGAACAAACUUAACAAUACAAUAUCACUGUCCCAGGCUCCAGCUGAAUAACAUCAACAUAUAACAUAAUACUUUGUAUCGAAGAUCCUGCUCGCAGCUAUGCCUCAUUGCCUACCAUGGCCAAAACCUCUUUGAGGUUUACCGUAGUGUUCUCCGUCUGAUUGUUAUGUGUUGAGGAUGAGCUGAAUGUUACUGAUAUUAAUACCUGAUAUCUAUUUGUGGUCAAUGUUUAGUGUAACACCGUGACAUCUUCCAAUGCCAAAGUUUAUUUCCAACGAGCCAAAGCUUAUUUGCAUUGCAAUUACGAGCGGUAGUGUGAUGUGUGGAACGUGUAGUAUGUACGAUUGGGAACCACUUACUCUGUAACCCAAAGUGGCAUGUUUGCAUAUAUGAGAAUGUUCAGUGUUCAUCGUCUUUAGAUAAUAAAAGCAUUGGCAUACCAGGAA